Molecule: ribosomal RNA, 251 nt
Filed under: uncultured Selenomonadales bacterium
Lineage: Bacteria; Bacillati; Bacillota; Negativicutes; Selenomonadales
Description: partial 16S ribosomal RNA
Rfam family: Bacterial small subunit ribosomal RNA
Source: RNAcentral
CGCGCUGUAAACGAUGGAUACUAGGUGUGGGAGGUAUCGACCCCUUCUGUGCCGGAGUUAACGCAAUAAGUAUCCCGCCUGGGGACUACGGUCGCAAGACUAAAACUCAAAGGAAUUGACGGGGGCCCGCACAAGCGGUGGAGCAUGUGGUUUAAUUCGACGCAACGCGAAGAACCUUACCAGGAUUUGACAUCCUCUGCUAGCGCAAGAGAUUGCGUUUUUAAUCUUCGGAUUAACAGAGAGACAGGUGG